UCCGUAGAUUCGAGAAAUUGACCGGUUUGACUCUCGGAAUUGUUAGAGAGAGAAUUGUAAGAGAGAGAUGGAUAAGAAAAAAGUGAAAGUGAGAGGAUGUUGUGUGGUUGAGAUGAGAAGAGAGAGAUUUCGAUGAUUUUCGGAACACAUAAAAGAAAAAGUGAGAUAAUUGGAACAAAUGUUUUAAAUAGUUAAAGUGCCAAAAAAAUUCAUUUUCCUCCAAAGAUUUGUUCUUAGUUAUACUGAAGAUACUAGUGUUACGAAAUUUGGUCAUAGUUUUAUUUUUUUGGUGGUUUUUAAUUUAUUUAGUGUUACUAAUCCUUUUACUUUGGUUUUCUAUUUUUACUUUCGAUUUUAGUACUUUAAAAUGUUAGCCAUAUUUUGUUGUGCAAUAACAUUUUGAUAAAGAUAUAACUCAAAAAAAUUUCUUUGUAAGAAGUUCUUCAUUAAGAAAGUGUAGUUGGAAUUACAAGGUCUUAUAAUGGAUAUAUUACUAGUUUUAAAAAAAAUUCAAAAACAUUUAUUACGUUUCUUAUAAUUAUAAGUAGUAAAGAAACCA
This 559-nucleotide long non-coding RNA is filed under the name Brassica napus (rape). Its description in RNAcentral is "long non-coding RNA (BNAP_LNC004653)". Lineage: Eukaryota; Viridiplantae; Streptophyta; Magnoliopsida; Brassicales; Brassicaceae. The record is from RNAcentral.